GCACGCAGCCUCGGGGCGGACGCUGCCUCACGUGGCGCACGGCGCGGAGUGCAGCGCUUGACCCUACACGUCCCGCCGGCCUUGGUGUCCUCUGAGAAUGUUCUUCUUUUUGCUGUCUGCCAACCUACUUCUACUUCUUCAUGGUGAAGUCUCAGUGUGGGAAGAAGAGUUGCGGGCCCAUCCCUUCACUGAUGUUACCCUCUCCUGUCAUUUUUCCUUUGUGGAGGGCACAGAAAAUCUUGAAUUUUCUUGGGAAAGAGAGGACAUCAGAGAGGAAUAUGAAGUAGAUGAUGAUGAGCAAUUUUACCGCUUUUUCCGGUACUAUGAUUUCUUUGAAGUUUUCACGAAGUUAGUUUACCAGUUUGGCAAUAACACAGAGCAACUAGAAGAUCAAAAUGCCAUGUAUGAAGGAAGAGUUUCAGUGGAUCGGAAUGAAAUUUCUGAGGGGUCUCUGUCACUUCUACUAAGAAAUGUGAACUUCAUGGAUGAAGCGAUGUACAAGUGCUCAGCCAUCACACCAGAUGGAAGAGGCGAAAGCACAAUGAAGCUAAUCGUAGAAGACUCUGAAAUGCCCCAGGUGCAAUUUGACAAGAUUGGCGAGGAGGAUGUGGCCACUUGCAUCUCCAAGGGCUGGUACUUUGCACCCAAUGUGACCUGGUUGGACCGGGGCGAGAGGGACCUGAGUAAUCACAGUACAGUUGAGGUCCUGGAGGAGCAGAUGAAUGGCCUGUAUCGGGUGUACUCUGUUCUGAAAUAUCCAGUCAAGUUAAAUGAGAAAUAUGUCUGUCAUAUCAAAGAGACAGACCAGAACUACAAGCCCUUCAGAAUAAUCCGCAGGUACCCCAAUGGAGGAAAAAACAACAUGUUAGUAUGUUGAUAAUGAACAUAUGAGGAGGACAAAUUUGACUGUGCAGGAGAAGGCAAAGAGUUGCUGAGUAAUGUCUCAGAUAGAAGGAGAGAAGAUAUCCCCCAUCAUAUGAUUACUAUUAAGAGAUGUGAAUAACAUCUGCUCAAGGACCUGUCUUCCUUUAAGCCACUGGAGCUCCUGAUUUCUUUUGUGGAUUAUCUAUUUUUCGUCUUAGACAAAAAUAAAUUUACUGAUCAUAAACAGAAAAAA
Molecule: non-coding RNA, 1117 nt
Organism: Heterocephalus glaber (naked mole-rat)
Lineage: Eukaryota; Metazoa; Chordata; Mammalia; Rodentia; Bathyergidae
Source: RefSeq, a predicted model, not a curated record